UGCAAGUCGAGCGAAUGGAUUAAGAGCUUGCUCUUAUGAAGUUAGCGGCGGACGGGUGAGUAACACGUGGGUAACCUGCCCAUAAGACUGGGAUAACUCCGGGAAACCGGGGCUAAUACCGGAUAACAUUUUGAACCGCAUGGUUCGAAAUUGAAAGGCGGCUUCGGCUGUCACUUAUGGAUGGACCCGCGUCGCAUUAGCUAGUUGGUGAGGUAACGGCUCACCAAGGCAACGAUGCGUAGCCGACCUGAGAGGGUGAUCGGCCACACUGGGACUGAGACACGGCCCAGACUCCUACGGGAGGCAGCAGUAGGGAAUCUUCCGCAAUGGACGAAAGUCUGACGGAGCAACGCCGCGUGAGUGAUGAAGGCUUUCGGGUCGUAAAACUCUGUUGUUAGGGAAGAACAAGUGCUAGUUGAAUAAGCUGGCACCUUGACGGUACCUAACCAGAAAGCCACGGCUAACUACGUGCCAGCAGCCGCGGUAAUACGUAGGUGGCAAGCGUUAUCCGGAAUUAUUGGGCGUAAAGCGCGCGCAGGUGGUUUCUUAAGUCUGAUGUGAAAGCCCACGGCUCAACCGUGGAGGGUCAUUGGAAACUGGGAGACUUGAGUGCAGAAGAGGAAAGUGGAAUUCCAUGUGUAGCGNUGAAAUGCGUAGAGAUAUGGAGGAACACCAGUGGCGAAGGCGACUUUCUGGUCUGUAACUGACACUGAGGCGCGAAAGCGUGGGGA
Molecule: ribosomal RNA, 731 nt
Filed under: Bacillus sp. (in: firmicutes)
Lineage: Bacteria; Bacillati; Bacillota; Bacilli; Caryophanales; Bacillaceae
Description: bacterial SSU rRNA
Rfam family: Bacterial small subunit ribosomal RNA
Source: RNAcentral